UACGGNGGGUGCAAGCGUUAAUCGGAAUUACUGGGCGUAAAGCGCNCGUAGGCGGUUUUUUAAGUCNGAUGUGAAAGCCCCGGGCUCAACCUGGGAACUGCAUNCGAUACUGGAAGACUAGANUGCGGGAGAGGGAGGNAGAAUUCCAUGUGUAGCNGUGAAAUGCGUAGAUAUAUGGAAGAAUACCAGUGGCGAAGGCGGCCUNCUGGCUCGACAUUGACGCUGANGUGCGAAAGCGUGGGGAGCAAANGGG
Molecule: ribosomal RNA, 253 nt
Filed under: uncultured bacterium
Lineage: Bacteria
Description: partial 16S ribosomal RNA
Rfam family: Bacterial small subunit ribosomal RNA
Source: RNAcentral